GACUCAUGAUUUGAUCCCAUGCUGAAUUUUUUUAAAAUGAACUCUAAGCGGCAUGCCCUUCCCCAAAUGCAUCUGCCAACUGCCCCGCCCACUCGGUGAUUGACAGUUGUCAAUCGGCACAAGACCCCUCCCGUCCCCUGUUGCCAAUCACAUAAAAAAAAAAAAACAAAACAACUAACGACAGCCCCUCGCCGCCUCCUUCCAUUUGAGGUCUCCUCACACACCGCUAUGGAUUGCGGCGCUUACGAGAUGGACCCCCUGGAGGUCCCCCCUCUCACCCCGACCAGCAAGGAGGUUCUGUGCCAGGCUCUGAGAGCCAGUUUUGCCGGUUUCACCCAGGAGAGGCUCACUCACCGUUUCCCCCAAGAUCCGACUCGAUGGUCCGAAUGGGAGGUGAACCACUGGCUGGGCUGGUGCCGGG
This is a long non-coding RNA of Hippocampus comes (tiger tail seahorse), 421 nucleotides long. RefSeq lists it as uncharacterized. The transcript is spliced from 3 exons. Lineage: Eukaryota; Metazoa; Chordata; Actinopteri; Syngnathiformes; Syngnathidae. The record is from RefSeq and is a predicted model, not a curated record.